This 467-nucleotide ribosomal RNA is filed under the name uncultured bacterium. Its description in RNAcentral is "partial 16S ribosomal RNA". It matches the Rfam family "Bacterial small subunit ribosomal RNA", at positions 28 to 507 of the family's 1533-position model. The record is from RNAcentral.
GACGAACGCUGGCGGCGUGCUUAACACAUGCAAGUCGAACGGAAAGGCCCUGCUUUUGUGGGGUGCUCGAGUGGCGAACGGGUGAGUAACACGUGAGUAACCUGCCCUUGACUUUGGGAUAACUUCAGGAAACUGGGGCUAAUACCGGAUAGGAGCUCCUGCUGCAUGGUGGGGGUUGGAAAGUUUCGGCGGUUGGGGAUGGACUCGCGGCUUAUCAGCUUGUUGGUGGGGUAGUGGCUUACCAAGGCUUUGACGGGUAGCCGGCCUGAGAGGGUGACCGGCCAGCUGGGGUCGGAGUUACGCCCCGGCCUCACUCGGGAGGGAGGCGGGGGGAAUGUUGACAAAGGGGGGGAGGCCUCCUGCAGCAACCCCGGGGGCGGGAGGGAGGCAUUCGGGUUGUAAACCGAUUUCGCCUGGGACGGAGGGUGAUGACGGGAAAUGGAGAAGAAGCCCCGGGCAACCCCGGG